Molecule: long non-coding RNA, 1831 nt
Filed under: Capsella rubella
Lineage: Eukaryota; Viridiplantae; Streptophyta; Magnoliopsida; Brassicales; Brassicaceae
Description: long non-coding RNA (CRUB_LNC001768)
Source: RNAcentral
UUGGAUGGAGAAUUUUAAGGGAUUUUAAUUACAGGUGGAUUUUAAAGUUCAAUAGCCUUUAAAUACAAUUAAGAUGGAUUUGGUAUGAAAGAGAUGAAAUCCUUUGAAAAGUGUUAGGAUUGUGUUUGUACGUGUUUUAGAUGUAAAAUACAUUAAAAUCUUAAAGAAAACAAAAUCCAUUGAAAAUUGAAUAACGCUUGUUUUAAAAUACUUUAAAAUACAUCCAACAAAUGUUAAGGGGGUGUUAUUCAAUACUGUAUUUUAAAGGAAUUAGAGGUAUUUUAAAAUCCAGCGUUAUUCAAUUAAGUAUUUUAAAAAGUACAUUAAAAUCUGUUGUUAUUGGAUCAUGCAUUUAUUUGGUGUAUUUUAGAAUACGUUCAAAACCACUGUUAUUCAAUGUCUUCUUGAUUCUGCCUUAUUUUAGAUUUCGUUGUAUUUUACCCCAAAAAUAUGAACAAACACAAUCCGCCAUAUUUCUCUGAGUAUUUCAAUUCAUUUUCUAUAAUUGAAUUGAGAUUCGAAGAAAUACAAGAUGGCUCUGAGCCUCUAACCAAAGGAUCUCUACAUCAACCUGAUCGGGUGCUCUGCACAGCUUGCAAAUCCUCAGAUCUGAUUAUGCCUAUCAAAAAUUAAAGUUGGAGCUAUUGCCCUCGAGGCGAAGUUAGAGCUGUUUAGAAGUUAUCGUAACAGUGCUGGGAUCACAUAGCUUAUGGAUCAACUCUUUCCUCGUCAUUACUUGGCUCUUCAACUUUCUUUCUUCUCAUUUCAUCUCUUUUGUGUUUUUUAAAGUUUGACACUUGCUUUUGAAUUUUCUCUGGUAUAUCAUUCUUGGACAUAUUUUGUAAGAAAUUGGCAAUUCAAUGAUCUUUUGGAGAACAAUCUAGAUGUUGGAGCCACCAGUAGAGAGAGCAAUAGGAUUGGGGAUUAUGAUCUGGGAAACUGUUAAAUUAAAUCUCUUCAGCAUCAAAUUGGAUUAGGGAUUCUGAAUUUUAUUUGAGUAGUUAUUGGUUGCUAUUUGCUAUAGGUUCUUGCAGUUACGUAUUUCAUAAUUGUUUAUAUAAGUGACAAGGAUCUUUUCGCCGAGUUAUACAAGUUUAGUUAGUAAUUUAAUUUGUAUUCUGGUUCACAAUACUAUCUCAUGUCUUUGUGUUGUGAAUUGGUGUGUCUCCAAUAUCAAAUGAAGUUCCCCUAUUCAAAUGUGUCGUUCGUUGGUUUCUUGUCAUAUAUUGGGUUGGUAUCAAUUUCUUUCUCUGGUUCACAAUACUAUCUCAUGUCUCUCGUUUCUCCCUUUGUCUCUCUUUUGAGUUUUUGUGAUUGUUUCCUCUGCUCUUAGUAGCGUUAUUGCGAAGAACUGAAUUUACACAUGUAAUGAAAUGCCAAAACUGAAUUCACACAGAUAUAAGCAAUGGAAAAGAAAACCAUAGAGGGGGUUUAAGCAACACCACUUCGUUGGCUUGGUUUUGGGAACCUUUUUUGGAGUAGCAGGAGGAGGAGCCGCAUCCGAUGGAGGUUGAUGAUUCCAUCUCCGACUGUGGUGACAAGAUAGGACCGUCGUGUUCACCGUUGGAUCCGAAAACGUCGUCAUCGUUCAAAUAAGUCAGAAGCAAAACACCGUCCACAGUCAUGGACUGAGCGCCAUCGUAGGCUCAGGCUGAGAAUAAUAGAAAUGAGAAUAGUAGAAAGUGCAUGAGUUAACAUACUCAAUGAAUAUAACGAAAGGUUGUAGUUUAUUUUAUAUUUUACUUAACUUCAAAAAUAAUAAUAUUUCACUAGUAAUGUCUUUCAAAUCUCUAAUAAUGCCUUUCAAAUCCACUGAUAAUGACAUCCUAAU